GAUGAACGCUGGCGGCGUGCUUAACACAUGCAAGUCGAACGGAAAGGCCCUGCUUUUGUGGGGUGCUCGAGUGGCGAGCGGGUGAGUAACACGUGAGUAUCCUGCCCCUGUCAGUGGGAUAACUUCACGAAACUGGGGCGAAAAUCGGAUAGGAUCUCCUGCUGCAUGGUGGGGGUUGGAAAGUUUCGGCGGUGGGGGAUCGACUCGCUGGUUAUGCGCCGCAUGGUCAGGUAGGGGCUGACAAAGGUUUUGACGGGUAGGCCGCCUGAGAGGGUGACCGGCCACAUUGGGACUGAGGGACGGAGCAGACUCCUACGGGAGGCAGCAGGGGAGAGUAUUGCAGAGUGGGCGGAAGCCUGAUACAGCAGCGCCGGGUGCGGAAUGACGGCCUACGGGUUGUAAACCGAUUUCGCCGGUGACGAAGCGGGAGUGACGGUAAUGGGUAAGAAAGCACCGGCUAACUACGUG
RNAcentral lists this ribosomal RNA (468 nucleotides) under uncultured bacterium. Its description in RNAcentral is "partial 16S ribosomal RNA". It matches the Rfam family "Bacterial small subunit ribosomal RNA", at positions 28 to 507 of the family's 1533-position model. The record is from RNAcentral.